UACAGAGGGUGCAAGCGUUGUUCGGAAUCAUUGGGCGUAAAGGGCGUGUAGGCGGUUUGUUAAGUCAUGUGUGAAAUCCCUCGGCUCAACCGGGGAACGACGCAUGAAACUGGCAAGCUAGAGUACCAAAGAGGGUGGUGGAAUUCCCGGUGUAGCGGUGAGAUGCGUAGAUAUCGGGAGGAACACCUGUGGCGAAGGCGGCCACCUGGUUGGAUACUGACGCUGAGACGCGAAAGCGUGGGGAGCAAACAGG
This 253-nucleotide ribosomal RNA is filed under the name uncultured bacterium. RNAcentral describes it as "partial 16S ribosomal RNA". It matches the Rfam family "Bacterial small subunit ribosomal RNA", at positions 524 to 776 of the family's 1533-position model. The record is from RNAcentral.